CCUACGGGUGGCAGCAGUGAGGAAUAUUGGUCAAUGGGCGAGAGUCUGAACCAGCCAAGUAGCGUGAAGGAUGAAGGAUCUAUGGUUUGUAAACUUCUUUUAUAAGGGAAUAAAGUGAGGCACGUGUUCCUUUUUGUAUGUACUUUAUGAAUAAGCAUCGGCUAACUCCGUGCCAGCAGCCGCGGUAAUACGGAGGAUGCGAGCGUUAUCCGGAUUUAUUGGGUUUAAAGGGUGCGUAGUGGGGUAAUUAAGUCAGCGGUGAAAGUUUGUGGCUCAACCGUAAAAUUGCCGUUGAAACUGGUUGACUUGAGUAUAUUUGAGGUAGGCGGAAUGCGUGGUGUAGCGGUGAAAUGCUUAGAUAUCACGCAGAACCCCGAUUGCGAAGGCAGCUUACUAAACUAUAACUGACACUGAAGCACGAAAGCGUGGGUAUCAAACAGGAUUAGAUACCCCAGUAGUC
Molecule: ribosomal RNA, 460 nt
Filed under: uncultured bacterium
Lineage: Bacteria
Description: partial 16S ribosomal RNA
Rfam family: Bacterial small subunit ribosomal RNA
Source: RNAcentral